GUGCUCGAUUCAGCAGCACACAUACUGAAAAUAGAACAAUAUAGAGAAGAUUAGCAUGGCCGCUGGGCAAAAAGAACACCCAGAUUUGUGAAAUGAUCCAUAGUUUU
RNAcentral lists this small nuclear RNA (107 nucleotides) under Notamacropus eugenii (tammar wallaby). Lineage: Eukaryota; Metazoa; Chordata; Mammalia; Diprotodontia; Macropodidae. The record is from RNAcentral.